Long non-coding RNA from Cercocebus atys (sooty mangabey), 441 nucleotides. RefSeq lists it as uncharacterized. The record is from RefSeq and is a predicted model, not a curated record. The transcript is spliced from 3 exons. NCBI's taxonomy places the organism in Eukaryota, Metazoa, Chordata, Mammalia, Primates, Cercopithecidae.
CAGGCUUCUUUUUACUCCCAUCCUGCAAAAAGAGCACUGUGAAGCAGACCACAAACCCUAGGAAGUGGUCCUCAUGGAACACCUUUCCCGAAGAGAUGGUGAUGUGGCCAUUUGACAUGGGACACAGCAGGCGCUGGAAGAAGCACAUAUUUUUAGUGACAAAGACUGUGACAAUCGUAAGUCAGAAAGAAGACACUCAACCACUGAAUUAGGACUUUUGAAGUAGUAAUUGGUAGUGGUAAGAUGGCUCUCUGCUCAGCUCCUGUCUGGCCCCUGACCCUGAACUCCUGCUUGGCUUGUGUAUGGCAGACAUGCCCUGACCUUGUGCAGGAGGAAACUUGUUGAAGAAGCAUCUCCACUUUUGCACACACUCACCUUGGAAAGACGUAAAAAUGAUUACACAGUAAGGCCGUGGGGUGGGGUUCUCCUGGCAGAUUCAAG